GAAAAAGAGCUUGUUUGGACUGUAGCAUCUCAGAAGUGUGACGCCAGUCAAAUGGCAAGGCAUUUUUCAAGCAGCAGAGUUAUCUGGAGCAGACAAGUGUGGCUAGCUCUAGAGAUGAACCAGCUGACAGAAACACUGCUAGAAACAAGGAAUACACGCGUCGUCGUCGUCCACAGGCCGGUCAGAAGAAGGGAGGGAGGGAGGGAGAGAAGAAUCGACGGGUGGUGUGCUAAGAUCGGUCCCGACAAACACUAGACAACGCCGGGACGAGUGGCGCCCGCGGUGGCCACGCGCUCCGUGUCGCUGCGCCACGGCGCUACGGCCACCUUCGCCGCGUGGGUGGUUGCUAGCUAGCUUGUCGCCUUACUGUCGUCCCCGUCCACGUUCAGGUUCAGCCUCCUGGGUCUGGGUGGCCCCAGCCGUGCGCGGCCGCCAUGCAUGUACGGACUACGGAGAAGCAGGCAAUCGAGCGCGGCAGGCAGGUAGCAUCUGCGCGCGGCUAGGUGUCGCCGUCCGAUACCCUUACUAUACUUUGCACUGAUGACUGAUGGCACAGGCAGGGACGACGCCGGGCACACCGGCCGUACCGUGUCGCCGCUCGGCCGGGCGGGAUCGGAGGUGAACGUACGUGCGCGCGAACGGACGGCGCGGCGGCUUAUUGCCGGAGGGAGGGCCGGGUCGGGGCGGAUGAUAUAUAUGACGCCGUACGUCAUGCCCACGCCGACCGAGCGAGCAUGCAGCGCAGGGCCCAUGCUAGACAGUGGCCCUCCGUCGUGUCACCCUCCGGCGGAUCGAUCGGAUUUCGGAUCCCUCUCUAGAUCUCCCUCCCUCCACCAGUGGGCAGUCCAUCUCCACGCCACGCCAGAGAAUAUCUCCGGCCGACCACCGCCGCGCGGCCGGGGGAUGGGAACGAAAACGAACAAGCCCUGUCCGCCUCAUCACCGUCGCUCUCGAUCGCCACCGUGCUGCAUGGCGCGCGGCGGCCUCUGGAGGAGGCGCAAGGGCCAGUAGGCCCCGCUGUCCCGCCCGCGCGGCUAGAAUUAGAUCGAUCGCAUCGCAUGGUCUCUCCGGCAUGCUACCCUAGCUCGCCGAGGGUGCCGACGCCCGAGAGGUAGUAGCUAGCCCUGGGCUCUGGCCACCACCCACCAUGCAUGAUUGCUCCCUUUUCCGCUUCCAAAUAAAGUUUGCGCGUAUCCAGCG
RNAcentral lists this long non-coding RNA (1200 nucleotides) under Zea mays. RNAcentral's name for it is "long non-coding RNA (ZMAY_LNC001400)". Lineage: Eukaryota; Viridiplantae; Streptophyta; Magnoliopsida; Poales; Poaceae. The record is from RNAcentral.